RNAcentral lists this long non-coding RNA (1566 nucleotides) under Salmo salar (Atlantic salmon). RNAcentral describes it as "lncRNA (ENSSSAG00000117533.1)". Lineage: Eukaryota; Metazoa; Chordata; Actinopteri; Salmoniformes; Salmonidae. The record is from RNAcentral.
CGUGGAUGCAUCGGAGAAAAAUACGUGCAAUGCAAUAAACGCCCGUUUCAAAGAACCAACCUGUGUCUGUUGUCGUGAAGAGAGCUACAGUGAGAACUCGCCUGCUCAACACGGGUAGGAGAGACAACAAGAUCGCCGCGGGUAACGACGCAACGAAGAUCCAGCAGAUCAGAUAAGCAAAGCCCAUGACAUUGUCGGCUUAGCGACAGCAAGCAACGGUGAUUGGACUGUGUUGAAAGCGCAACUUUUCAGGCCAAAAGCACUCUACCACAACAUUCAAGUUAAGUUGGUAUGAGAAGUGGUUCUACUUUGAAAUUGCAACUAAGGACUCAGCUCUAUGAAUCGUACAUACUGUGCUUAGCCUACAUGUUUUGGGGAUAAAUCGAAUGUGCUGGUGUUUGUGGUUGUUACGUGUUACGAGAUUUAAAGGGAAACUUAACUCCAUAAGCAAGUGAACACGUUUUGAGUAAAGAUAAAAGAUAAUCAUACAUUGAAAUUAAGAUUAAUGUUUUAUGAAAAGUGGUGUUAGCCAAGCUUAAAGAGCAAUUUAAGCAAAGUUUAACCUCUAUGGGCUAGGUGGGACGCCAUUUGUAUUUCUUUGUUUCAGUACUAUAAUUUAUCAACGUUACUGUGUUCAUUCAAACAUAUAGUUCUCACGGCGUGACGUGGAUGCAUCGGAGAAAAAUACGUGCAAUGCAAUAAACGCCCGUUUCAAAGAACCAACCUGUGUCUGUUGUCGUGAAGAGAGCUACAGAGACCCUCUGAUCUAAAUAUAGGUCUCUACUAUGGGGACGUUGGGCUGGUAUAGAGAGAAGAGGAGGAGAGACCCUCUGAUCUAAAUAUAGAUCUCUACUAUGGGGACGUUGGGCUGGUAUAGAGAGAAGAGGAGGAGAGACCCUCUGAUCUAAAUAUGGGUCUCUACUAUGGGGACGUUGGGCUGGUAUAGAGGCAAGAGGAGGAGAGGAAAGUAAACAAGAGGUGGAGGAGGGGGUGAACACGGGGGAGAGAGAGAGAGGUUCAGAUGAAAGGAAAAUGGGAGAGAGGGGGUUGGAGGGAGAGGGAGACAGAUGCGUUCACACUUACCCGAUGAACAAUUAAUAAGCUAAUUAUAGUACAUCAAAAGGAUCUUGUCUUCCUCCGAUGAAGGAUUUAUUUUUUAUUAAAGAUAGAGGUGGGGGGGCAGAAUAAAUAAGGAAAUGAAACACAGAGAGCAGAACAGUCCUGGUUUUGCACGACUAGGAUUCCUAUUAUAAAGGAUUUUAGGCUUCUUAUAGUAGUGUCAUUGUGAAUAGUGUUUGUCUUCAUAUGUCAGUAUUGUGAAUGUUAAUUUGUCUUAUAUAACGUGUAUUAUCCUCAUGUAAAAUAUAAUUCUGAAAUAUCAUUGUGCAGCAGUCAUUUAGCACUAUUGUGUCUUCAUGUUGUGAAUGGUAGUGUAUUUAUCUUGAUAUCCUAGUAUUGUGAAUGGUAGUGUAUUUAUCUUGAUAUCCUAGUAUUGUGAAUGGUAGUGUAUUUAUCUUGAUAUCCUAGUAUUUUGAAUGGAAGUGUAUUUAUCUUGAUAGUAUUGUG